RNAcentral lists this ribosomal RNA (438 nucleotides) under Anaplasma marginale. RNAcentral's name for it is "bacterial SSU rRNA". It matches the Rfam family "Bacterial small subunit ribosomal RNA", at positions 993 to 1429 of the family's 1533-position model. Lineage: Bacteria; Pseudomonadati; Pseudomonadota; Alphaproteobacteria; Rickettsiales; Anaplasmataceae. The record is from RNAcentral.
UAGAUCCUUCUUAACGGAAGGGCGCAGUUCGGCUGGGCCUCGCACAGGUGCUGCAUGGCUGUCGUCAGCUCGUGUCGUGAGAUGUUGGGUUAAGUCCCGCAACGAGCGCAACCCUCAUCCUUAGUUACCAGCGGGUAAUGCCGGGCACUUUAAGGAAACUGCCAGUGAUAAACUGGAGGAAGGUGGGGAUGAUGUCAAGUCAGCACGGCCCUUAUGGGGUGGGCUACACACGUGCUACAAUGGCGACUACAAUAGGUUGCAACGUCGCAAGGCUGAGCUAAUCCGUAAAAGUCGUCUCAGUUCGGAUUGUCCUCUGUAACUCGAGGGCAUGAAGUCGGAAUCGCUAGUAAUCGUGGAUCAGCAUGCCACGGUGAAUACGUUCUCGGGUCUUGUACACACUGCCCGUCACGCCAUGGGAAUUGGCUUAACUCGAAGCUG